UGGGGAAUAUUGGGCAAUGGGCGCAAGCCUGACCCAGCAACGCCGCGUGAGUGAAGAAGGUCUUCGGAUUGUAAAGCUCUGUCCUUGGGGACGAAACAAAUGACGGUACCCAAGGAGGAAGCUCCGGCUAACUACGUGCCAGCAGCCGCGGUAAUACGUAGGGAGCAAGCGUUGUCCGGAAUUACUGGGCGUAAAGGGUGCGUAGGCGGUUUGAUAAGUCAGAUGUGAAAUAUCCGGGCUUAACCUGGAGGGUGCAUUUGAAACUGUCAGACUUGAGUGCAGGAGAGGAAAGCGGAAUUCCUAGUGUAGCGGUGAAAUGCGUAGAUAUUAGGAGGAACACCAGUGGCGAAGGCGGCUUUCUGGACUGUAACUGACGCUGAGGCACGAAAGCGUGGGGAGCAAACAGG
This 407-nucleotide ribosomal RNA is filed under the name uncultured bacterium. RNAcentral describes it as "bacterial SSU rRNA". It matches the Rfam family "Bacterial small subunit ribosomal RNA", at positions 355 to 776 of the family's 1533-position model. The record is from RNAcentral.